This 271-nucleotide long non-coding RNA is filed under the name Anser brachyrhynchus (Pink-footed goose). RNAcentral's name for it is "lncRNA (ENSABRG00000021314.1)". Lineage: Eukaryota; Metazoa; Chordata; Aves; Anseriformes; Anatidae. The record is from RNAcentral.
UGCCUAAACACAACUAAAGACUUGUUUGAAGGUGAAGGCAGUCAGAGGACAGAAGAAAAAAGUGGUACCUUGAUUUCCUGGUCUCACAAAAAAGCCAAGAAACCAUACUCCAGAAGAGCUGAAGAGAUAUGAAGGGAUUCUAUGGAUUUGAUCUUUUCAGUUUACUCAAAAGAUGAUUACAUAGUGCAUAAAUAUUAUGAGAAAUAGUUUGAAAACAUCAUUAGCCUAGUAGAUGAAAGCAAAAGAAUAUUAAAAGGCUGAAAGAUAAAGU